RNAcentral lists this non-coding RNA (24 nucleotides) under Arabidopsis thaliana (thale cress). Lineage: Eukaryota; Viridiplantae; Streptophyta; Magnoliopsida; Brassicales; Brassicaceae. The record is from RNAcentral.
CGGGGGUCGUGUGAUGGACUCCAA